UGGGGAAUUUUGGACAAUGGGGGCAACCCUGAUCCAGCCAUGCCGCGUGAGUGAAGAAGGCCUUCGGGUUGUAAAGCUCUUUCGGUGGGAACGAAACGGUGGAUGUUAAUACCGUCCACUACUGACGGUACUCACAGAAGAAGCACCGGCUAACUACGUGCCAGCAGCCGCGGUAAUACGUAGGGUGCGAGCGUUAAUCGGAAUUACUGGGCGUAAAGCGUGCGCAGGCGGCUUGCUAAGACAGGUGUGAAAGCCCCGAGCUUAACUUGGGAAUGGCGCUUGUGACUGGCAGGCUGGAGUGUGGCAGAGGGAGGUGGAAUUCCACGUGUAGCAGUGAAAUGCGUAGAGAUGUGGAGGAACACCGAUGGCGAAGGCAGCCUCCUGGGCCAACACUGACGCUCAUGCACGAAAGCGUGGGGAGCAAACAGG
This 429-nucleotide ribosomal RNA is filed under the name uncultured bacterium. RNAcentral describes it as "bacterial SSU rRNA". It matches the Rfam family "Bacterial small subunit ribosomal RNA", at positions 355 to 776 of the family's 1533-position model. The record is from RNAcentral.